Molecule: ribosomal RNA, 497 nt
Filed under: uncultured bacterium
Lineage: Bacteria
Description: partial 16S ribosomal RNA
Rfam family: Bacterial small subunit ribosomal RNA
Source: RNAcentral
GACGAACGCUGGCGGCGUGCCUAAUACAUGCAAGUAGAACGCUGAAGCUUGGUGCUUGCACCGAGCGGAUGAGUUGCGAACGGGUGAGUAACGCGUAGGUAACCUGCCUGGUAGCGGGGGAUAACUAUUGGAAACGAUAUCUAAUACCGCAUAAGAGUAGAUGUUGCAUGACAUUUGCUUAAAAGGUGCAAUUGCAUCACUACCAGAUGGACCUGCGUUGUAUUAGCUAGUUGGUGAGGUAACGGCUCACCAAGGCAACGAUACAUAGCCGACCUGAGAGGGUGAUCGGCCACACUGGGACUGGGACACGGCCCAGACUCCUACGGGAGGCAGCAGUAGGGAAUCUUCGGCAAUGGACGGAAGUCUGACCGAGCAACGCCGCGUGAGUGAAGAAGGUUUUCGGAUCGGAAAGCUCUGUUGUAAGAGAAGAACGAGUGUGAGAGUGGAAAGUUCACACUGUGACGGUAUCUUACCAGAAAGGGACGGCUAACUACGUG